UGUGGAAUAUUGGACAAUGGGUGAGAGCCUGAUCCAGCCAUCCCGCGUGUGUGAAGAAGGCCUUCGGGUUGUAAAGCACUUUUAUCUGGAGCGAAAUCUGCAGGGCUAAUACCCAUGCAGUCUGACGGUACCAGAGGAAUAAGCACCGGCUAACUUCGUGCCAGCAGCCGCGGUAAUACGAAGGGUGCAAGCGUUACUCGGAAUUACUGGGCGUAAAGCGUGAGUAGGUGGUUUCUUAAGUCUGCUGUGAAAGCCCCGGGCUCAACCUGGGAAUUGCAGUGGAUACUGGGGAGCUAGAGUACGGUAGAGGGUAGUGGAAUUCCCGGUGUAGCGGUGAAAUGCGUAGAGAUCGUGAGGAACACCCGUGGGGAAGGUGGCUACGUGGACCAGCACUGACACUGAGUCACGAAAGCGUGGGGAGCAAACA
RNAcentral lists this ribosomal RNA (427 nucleotides) under uncultured bacterium. RNAcentral's name for it is "bacterial SSU rRNA". It matches the Rfam family "Bacterial small subunit ribosomal RNA", at positions 355 to 774 of the family's 1533-position model. The record is from RNAcentral.